Long non-coding RNA from Cephus cinctus (wheat stem sawfly), 826 nucleotides. RefSeq lists it as uncharacterized. NCBI's taxonomy places the organism in Eukaryota, Metazoa, Arthropoda, Insecta, Hymenoptera, Cephidae. The transcript has 3 exons. The record is from RefSeq and is a predicted model, not a curated record.
AGGUGGCUUUCGCUGAGUAAAGAAGAAGCAGAAGAAGUAGAAGACGAAGAAUUAGGAUAGCGGCAACCGAUGGGGCCCAACGGAACUCGCGGGCACCGCGAAGACUGUAUACACACACGUGCGAAAUGAACACGCAUGCAUUCGCUGUAUAAGGGCAUGUGUUAGUAACAUGUCAUUAAAUCGAAAGCACUUGCCAGGAAGAGGCAGUGGCCACCUGAUGCUCGACGUGGCUGAGCCCUGGGCCUGGGGUGCCUUAUUCUUUCUUUGCAACGGCCGACGCGUUGCGUGAUUCGGGGGGUUGCCUUGUGAUGGAUCCACCAGAUCAAUAGAUCGAUAACGAGAAAUGCAGCACUGACGAGCUAUCUUGUUUUUCGGUAAAUCGCUUGGAAUUUCGUGGAUAUGUUACAGGCUCGCAAGGUAAACUUACUCGACACUUUUAAGAAGUUUUGGUCUGAAUUCUUUUUCUUGAAGUAUCCAUGAAUGUGGCAAAUGGGCCUUAUCCCUCAAGGGGGUGGUGUCUCAAGAGGACGACGGUUAAAAGUCGUUCGGGGCCUGCGUGGGACCUUCAGGUGGACGUGAAACUUUUUAGUUAGGACUCAAGGCGCUGGGGUGCACCUGCUAUACACCUGUUGGCCGUUGCGGUGGCAUCCUGGACGAUGAGAACGACUUCUAGGCUGUUCUUCUGCUGCUGCUGUUGCCAGUCCCAUAUUCCCAUAUGAUAUCGAGCUCUCGUUCGAUACAAAAACCUCAAAGGCACUCUAAAAAUGAUUCACCAAACGAAUCUACGAUUCGAAUAGAGAAAUAUAAAGCAAUAAUAAAAUCCUGC